GUGCUCCGGGCCCAAGGCAGCGCACGCUCCCCAACGGGCCUGUAACCAGAACAGCCAUGAGGGCUGGACGCACAGUCCUGCGUGUGCUCGCGGUGUGGGGAGCUGAGUAUACCUGGCAAGUGGAGCAUCUGCCAUAGCCAGGGAGCAAGAUACAAACAGAAAACGUCCAGUCACCCGGGCCACAGUGGCCCGCGACAACUCACCACCGUCGUCAAAGCUUGAACACCUGGAAGUAAACUCACCAGGAGCUCCGAGACUUAGAUGAGGAAAAUCAAAACCUUCACCAGAUGACGAAAGAGGAAACGGAAUCAGCCCUGAGAGCUGUGUGGUGUUUCAGAUCCACAUCGAUUCUCCCCCAAAUUCACUUAUAAAUCCAGUGCUAUCCCAACAUAAAGGUCACAGCUAAAAAAUUUAACACAAUUUGACAAGCUAAUUGUCGAGUUCAUGGGAUGUUCAAAGCAGACUCUUCAUAGCUGCUCAGGUGUCCACAAACGAUCGACAGAUAAGCCCAGCGUGGCCCUCCACACCAGGGAACAGGAUUCCACCAGGAAAAGAAUGAGGCCCGCACGGCUGCAGGGGGUGAGCCUGGAGAAUGG
Molecule: long non-coding RNA, 596 nt
Filed under: Homo sapiens (human)
Lineage: Eukaryota; Metazoa; Chordata; Mammalia; Primates; Hominidae
Description: non-protein coding lnc-LRCOL1-3:6
Source: RNAcentral